UACGGAGGGUGCAAGCGUUGUCCGGAUUUAUUGGGUUUAAAGGGAGCGUAGGCGGUCUUUUAAGUCAGCGGUGAAGUUCUCCAGCUUAACUGGAGAACUGCCAUUGAUACUGAAAGACUUGAGUACAGACGAGGUAGGCGGAAUUGACAGUGUAGCGGUGAAAUGCAUAGAUAUUGUCAAGAACACCGAUUGCGAAGGCAGCUUACUAGACUGUAACUGACGCUGAGGCUCGAAAGUGCGGGGAUCAAACAGG
Molecule: ribosomal RNA, 253 nt
Filed under: uncultured bacterium
Lineage: Bacteria
Description: partial 16S ribosomal RNA
Rfam family: Bacterial small subunit ribosomal RNA
Source: RNAcentral